AUGCGCUGUAAGGAGCAGGGCAACGGAUUGGAUCGAGGGCGCCCUGGCCUCGCCGCCGCUGCACCUGGAUUCGCUGGCCGCCGCGUCGAGUCACCUCCGUCGCCGUCGCGAGUCAGCUCCACCGUUGCCGCCAGGAAUCCCUUCCCGACAAGGAAAAUUCCUAGGGAUUUGAUUGAUGGAGGCAUCACUAUUUGGCGCUGGAUUAUCCAUUUUUGCAGCACCAGCAAUGUUGUUUUUGUUUGGAAUGGCCAGUUCUCAAUUUCUAAAUCGGCUAUACUAUACUUCUUGUCAGGUUACAUUAUCUUGCUUGGUUUCAGUCUAUAUGUAGCACAAAAAUAG
Molecule: ribosomal RNA, 339 nt
Filed under: Triticum aestivum (bread wheat)
Lineage: Eukaryota; Viridiplantae; Streptophyta; Magnoliopsida; Poales; Poaceae
Description: partial small subunit ribosomal RNA
Source: RNAcentral